Molecule: ribosomal RNA, 560 nt
Filed under: Serratia sp. R5-3
Lineage: Bacteria; Pseudomonadati; Pseudomonadota; Gammaproteobacteria; Enterobacterales; Yersiniaceae
Description: bacterial SSU rRNA
Rfam family: Bacterial small subunit ribosomal RNA
Source: RNAcentral
AGGGGGAUAACUACUGGAAACGGUAGCUAAUACCGCAUAACGUCUACGGACCAAAGUGGGGGACCUUCGGGCCUCAUGCCAUCAGAUGUGCCCAGAUGGGAUUAGCUAGUAGGUGGGGUAAUGGCUCACCUAGGCGACGAUCCCUAGCUGGUCUGAGAGGAUGACCAGCCACACUGGAACUGAGACACGGUCCAGACUCCUACGGGAGGCAGCAGUGGGGAAUAUUGCACAAUGGGCGCAAGCCUGAUGCAGCCAUGCCGCGUGUGUGAAGAAGGCCUUCGGGUUGUAAAGCACUUUCAGCGAGGAGGAAGGGUUCNGUGUUAAUAGCACUGUGCAUUGACGUUACUCGCAGAAGAAGCACCGGCUAACUCCGUGCCAGCAGCCGCGGUAAUACGGAGGGUGCAAGCGUUAAUCGGAAUUACUGGGCGUAAAGCGCACGCAGGCGGUUUGUUAAGUCAGAUGUGAAAUCCCCGCGCUUAACGUGGGAACUGCAUUUGAAACUGGCAAGCUAGAGUCUUGUAGAGGGGGGUAGAAUUCCAGGUGUAGCGGUGAAAUGCGUA